RNAcentral lists this ribosomal RNA (1399 nucleotides) under metagenome. RNAcentral describes it as "bacterial SSU rRNA". It matches the Rfam family "Bacterial small subunit ribosomal RNA". The record is from RNAcentral.
GGGUGAGUAAAGUAUCGGAACGUACCUUUCAGUGGGGGAUAACGUAGCGAAAGUUACGCUAAUACCGCAUAUUCUGUGAGCAGGAAAGCAGGGGAUCGCAAGACCUUGCGCUGAUUGAGCGGCCGAUAUCAGAUUAGCUAGUUGGUGAGGUAAAGGCUCACCAAGGCGACGAUCUGUAGCGGGUCUGAGAGGAUGAUCCGCCACACUGGAACUGAGACACGGUCCAGACUCCUACGGGAGGCAGCAGUGGGGAAUUUUGGACAAUGGGGGCAACCCUGAUCCAGCCAUGCCGCGUGAGUGAAGAAGGCCUUCGGGUUGUAAAGCUCUUUCGGCCGGGAAGAAAUCGUAUGGGUUAAUACCCUGUGCGGAUGACGGUACCGGCAUAAGAAGCACCGGCUAACUACGUGCCAGCAGCCGCGGUAAUACGUAGGGUGCGAGCGUUAAUCGGAAUUACUGGGCGUAAAGCGUGCGCAGGCGGUUUUGUAAGACAGGCGUGAAAUCCCCGGGCUCAACCUGGGAACUGCGCUUGUGACUGCAAGGCUAGAGUAUGGCAGAGGGGGGUGGAAUUCCACGUGUAGCAGUGAGAUGCGUAGAGAUGUGGAGGAACACCAAUGGCGAAGGCAGCCCCCUGGGCCAAUACUGACGCUCAUGCACGAAAGCGUGGGUAGCAAACAGGAUUAGAUACCCUGGUAGUCCACGCCCUAAACGAUGUCAACUAGGUGUUGGGUGGGUAAAACCAUUUAGUACCGGAGCUAACGCGUGAAGUUGACCGCCUGGGGAGUACGGCCGCAAGGUUAAAACUCAAAGGAAUUGACGGGGACCCGCACAAGCGGUGGAUGAUGUGGAUUAAUUCGAUGCAACGCGAAAAACCUUACCUACCCUUGACAUGUCCAGGAGCCUGAAGAGAUUUGGGUGUGCCCGAAAGGGAACUGGAACACAGGUGCUGCAUGGCUGUCGUCAGCUCGUGUCGUGAGAUGUUGGGUUAAGUCCCGCAACGAGCGCAACCCUUGUCGUUAAUUGCCAUCAUUUAGUUGGGCACUUUAACGAGACUGCCGGUGACAAACCGGAGGAAGGUGGGGAUGACGUCAAGUCCUCAUGGCCCUUAUGGGUAGGGCUUCACACGUCAUACAAUGGUCGGUACAAAGGGUUGCCAACCCGCGAGGGGGAGCCAAUCCCAGAAAGCCGAUCGUAGUCCGGAUCGCAGGCUGCAACUCGCCUGCGUGAAGUCGGAAUCGCUAGUAAUCGUGGAUCAGCAUGUCACGGUGAAUACGUUCCCGGGUCUUGUACACACCGCCCGUCACACCAUGGGAGCGGGUUCCGCCAGAAGUAGGUAGCCUAACCGCAAGGGGGGCGCUUACCACGGCGGGGUUCGUGACUGGGGCGAAGUCGAAACAAGGUA